AUCGGGAGUAGACUAACAAGGAUUCCCCUAGUAACUGCGAGUGAAGCGGGAAAAGCUCAAAUUUAAAAUCUGGCGGUCUUUGGCCGUCCGAGUUGUAAUCUGGAGAAGCGUUUUCCGCGCUGGACCGUGUACAAGUCUCUUGGAACAGAGCGUCAUAGAGGGUGAGAAUCCCGUCUUUGACACGGACUACCAGUGCUAUGUGAUGCGCUCUCGAUGAGUCGAGUUGUUUGGGAAUGCAGCUCAAAAUGGGUGGUAAAUUCCAUCUAAAGCUAAAUAUUGGCGAGAGACCGAUAGCGAACAAGUACCGUGAGGGAAAGAUGAAAAGCACUUUGGAAAGAGAGUUAAACAGUACGUGAAAUUGCUGAAAGGGAAACGAUUGAAGUCAGUCGCGUGUGCUAGAACUCAGCCUUGCUUUUGCUUGGUGCAUUUUCUAGUGUACGGGCCAGCAUCAGUUUUGGCCGCCGGAAAAAGGCCUUGGGAAUGUGGCACCUUCGGGUGUGUUAUAGCCCUUGGUUGUAUACGGUGGCUGGGACUGAGGAACAUAGCAUGCCUUUACGGCGGGGCUUCGGCCACCUUCAUGCUUUGGAUGCUGGCGUAAUGGCUUUAAACGACCCGUCUUGAAACACGGACCAAGGAGUCUAACAUGCCUGCGAGUGUUUGGGUGGAAAACCCGAGCGCGUAAUGAAAGUGAAAGUUGGGACUUCUGUCGUGGAAGGCACCGACGCCCGGACCAGACCUUCUGUGACGGAUCCGCGGUAGAGCAUGUAUGUUGGGACCCGAAAGAUGGUGAACUAUGCCUGAAUAGGGUGAAGCCAGAGGAAACUCUGGUGGAGGCUCGUAGCGAUUCUGACGUGCAAAUCGAUCGUCAAAUUUGGGUAUAGGGGCGAAAGACUAAUCGAACCAUCUAGUAGCUGGUUCCUGCGAGUUUCUCCCUCGAAAGAAACAAAAAAAACCCGGGCUAAUAAGAGGGUCGCGAUGAGCUUUUCCGCCCCUAAUCCCAAAUUUGAGGAAACGAUUUGGCGGUUAGAAAAUGCCUACAAGCCUCCCCCAGAGUUUCCUUCUGGGCUUCACCCUAUUCAGCAUAGUACAAUCUUUCGGGGUCCAACAUACCAUGCUCUACCGCGAUCGUCACAGAAAGGUCUGGAUCGGGCUCGGUGCUUCCGCACGAAAGUUCCACUAAUUUCAUACGCCUCGGGUUUACCAAACCUCCAGGCGUGUUGAACUUUGGGGUCCGGUUUCG
Molecule: ribosomal RNA, 1240 nt
Filed under: Bjerkandera adusta
Lineage: Eukaryota; Fungi; Basidiomycota; Agaricomycetes; Polyporales; Phanerochaetaceae
Description: partial large subunit ribosomal RNA
Rfam family: Eukaryotic large subunit ribosomal RNA
Source: RNAcentral